CCCUUAGAUGUUCUGGGCCGCACGCGCGCUACACUGACAGAGCCAACGAGUUCUUCACCUUGGCCGGAAGGUCUGGGUAAUCUUGUUAAACUCUGUCGUGCUGGGGAUAGAGCAUUGCAAUUAUUGCUCUUCAACGAGGAAUGCCUAGUAAGCGCGUGUCAUCAGCACGCGUUGAUUACGUCCCUGCCCUUUGUACACACCGCCCGUCGCUACUACCGAUUGAAUGGCUCAGUGAGGCCUUCGGACUGGCUCAGGGAGGUUGGCAACGACCACCCCGGGCCGGAAAGUUCGUCAAACUCGGUCAUUUAGAGGAAGUAAAAGUCGUAACA
RNAcentral lists this ribosomal RNA (329 nucleotides) under uncultured eukaryote. RNAcentral's name for it is "partial 18S ribosomal RNA". It matches the Rfam family "Eukaryotic small subunit ribosomal RNA", at positions 1470 to 1796 of the family's 1831-position model. The record is from RNAcentral.